RNAcentral lists this long non-coding RNA (1465 nucleotides) under Struthio camelus australis. Its description in RNAcentral is "lncRNA (ENSSCUG00000019149.1)". Lineage: Eukaryota; Metazoa; Chordata; Aves; Struthioniformes; Struthionidae. The record is from RNAcentral.
GCGCCGGGGUGCACCUGGGGCUCGCAGGCUUGAACGAGAGGCUGGGUUGUGUCUCUGUUUUUUCCAGCCGCAUCAAUUUAGCCUAAUAAAGGACAUUACUUCUCUUUAUGAGCCGUACCUUCCUGCAGCGCUUUCGGGCUGCCUGCAGAAAUCGCAGCCUCUCCGUUUCGAAGGCAGAGCCGCCGAGGCAGCCCAAAGCGAUUGCUUUUUUAGAAAGGACAAAAUGGGGCGAAAUUGCCCAUUUGCAGCUUAAAAAAAAUGAGCUGCCACCGAAGCGCGCGAGCAAUCUGCCUGGCCUCCUGGUGCAGCGGGUACGGGAGGACGAGCAGGAUUGGCCCCGUUGCAGGAAUGAGGAUGAAAAUCCCCGCGGCAGAAGCUGGGGCGCUGCCUAGCAGGAUAAAUCCCCGUCGGAGAUUUCUUCUUGCGCCAAGAAGAGACCGGGGCCCUGGGGCCGGCUCCGCCAGCCCCGCCCCGGCGGAGGCCAAGCCCAUCACCCACGAAGCUUUCGGUGAUUUUAAAGUAUGGUAAAAGGCUUUGAGUCAAUCCCUUUUAAACUCACACACGCUCUGGCAGCGCGCGGGAGCCCGAGCCGCAGCAAGAACGGACCGGCCCAAGAGAAAGCAGAAGAGGAAUUGAACCUUGUUUCUGCCCCAGGAGCAAGGAAUCAAAAAAAUCAAGACACCUACUGGGAAAGGCAGAGGCUUGUUGAAGUUAAUUUGUUAAUCGCUUGAUGCAGCUCUGCCACAUCUUGCAGUUUUAUCCUGUCUUAGCAAACGCUUCCUCUAAUGCCCCAGCUCCUGUAGUCACACAGUUGCAGAAAAAUCACAGCCGCUCUCAGUUUAGGUCAGGUUUUGCUUAAUAAAAAGAAAGAAUAUUCACGGCAAAUGACAAAUACCACAUUUUUAACAAUACAGACUUUGAGCAUCAACCAACUAAUGAUUUUGACAGUGCCCCAGCAGGUACACGAGGGUCGAUCCGGCUUCCCCUCGCGACAGCGCCCUUCCCAAAAGCAGCUCCUCCGGCCACCGGUCGGGCUGGGGAACGGGGUGAAUCCCAGCAAGCAAACGGCCGCUGGGAGCUCGCGGCCGCCCCGCAGCUGGGGUGCCGCAGGGCACCGGGACCGGCGGCCGCGCAGAGACCGCACCGCCGGCUGUACCCAACUGCACGUCUCUGUAUACAUAUAUAUAUGUACAUCUCUUUCUGCCUAUAAAUAUAUGGAGUUAAAGUGACUUCCAGUCGAGCCAGUUCCUCCCCCCCGCUAGCAGCCUGCAACUGUGCGUGUGAUGGAGCAAGGACUCCUGGCCAAUUUGCAAGACCGGUCAGGUCUGCAGGACUUGGCCCUUUUUAAGUGCUUGAGCUCAUAUUUCUAGCCCCAGGCCUCGCAGUUCUGGGAUUUUGAUGGCAUUUCUGUAUUGGAAAUGAUGCUUUCUAGAAAAAAAAAAUAAAACACAGCAAAGAGUCUCCA